Molecule: ribosomal RNA, 254 nt
Filed under: uncultured bacterium
Lineage: Bacteria
Description: partial 16S ribosomal RNA
Rfam family: Bacterial small subunit ribosomal RNA
Source: RNAcentral
CAGAGGGGGCAAGCGUUGUUCGGAAUUACUGGGCGUAAAGGGCGCGUAGGCGGCCUGUUAAGUCAGACGUGAAAUCCCUCGGCUCAACCGGGGAACUGCGUCUGAUACUGGCGGGCUUGAAUUCGGGAGAGGGAUGUGGAAUUCCAGGUGUAGCGGUGAAAUGCGUAGAUAUCUGGAGGAACACCGGUGGCGAAGGCGGCAUCCUGGACCGACAUUGACGCUGAGGCGCGAAAGCCAGGGGAGCAAACGGGAUU